ACCCUUUGUGAACAUACCUAUAACUGUUGCUUCGGCGGGUAGGGUCUCCGCGACCCUCCCGGCCUCCCGCCUCCGGGCGGGUCGGCGCCCGCCGGAGGAUAACCAAACUCUGAUUUAACGACGUUUCUUCUGAGUGGUACAAGCAAAUAAUCAAAACUUUUAACAACGGAUCUCUUGGUUCUGGCAUCGAUGAAGAACGCAGCGAAAUGCGAUAAGUAAUGUGAAUUGCAGAAUUCAGUGAAUCAUCGAAUCUUUGAACGCACAUUGCGCCCGCCAGCAUUCUGGCGGGCAUGCCUGUUCGAGCGUCAUUUCAACCCUCAAGCUCUGCUUGGUGUUGGGGCCCUACAGCUGAUGUAGGCCCUCAAAGGUAGUGGCGGACCCUCUCGGAGCCUCCUUUGCGUAGUAACUUUACGUCUCGCACUGGGAUCCGGAGGGACUCUUGCCGUAAAACCCCCAAUUUUCCAAAGGUUGACCUCGGAUCAGGUAGGAAUACCCGCUGAACUUAAGCAUAUCAAA
RNAcentral lists this ribosomal RNA (516 nucleotides) under Colletotrichum gloeosporioides. Its description in RNAcentral is "eukaryotic LSU rRNA". The stretch from base 155 to 308 matches the Rfam family "5.8S ribosomal RNA". Lineage: Eukaryota; Fungi; Ascomycota; Sordariomycetes; Glomerellales; Glomerellaceae. The record is from RNAcentral.